This is a non-coding RNA of Salvia hispanica, 1097 nucleotides long. The record is from RefSeq and is a predicted model, not a curated record. NCBI's taxonomy places the organism in Eukaryota, Viridiplantae, Streptophyta, Magnoliopsida, Lamiales, Lamiaceae.
AGUUAUUUUCGUUUGUGGUCAUUGUGAGAUUGAUUUCUAAAUAUCGCACUAUGUUAGUUCUUCUAUUUUCUUAAGUCAUAGUUCCGGAAACGAUAGAUCUGCAUUUCACUUAUUUAUUUUAUUUUUUGUGAAUCGGUGAAUUCCGGUGUUGAAUUUAGCUGAUUUUUAUAGUUUUGGUGCUUGUGGUUAUUGUUGCCUGCAAUCGUUGUGCAGUAGCUCUUGUCUCUGUUCUUCUUGUGUAUGUGGAAAUCUUCAAUUUUAUAAUUUGUCUAGGUUAUCAAUUUUAGACGAGCUAAGAGUAUUUUAUUUAGUGAAAGUUAGUAUUUUAUGUUUAUCUACUUCAAUUUUUUGGAAUAUGUGGAUGCCUUAUUUCUUGCUUAUUGGAAGUUCCUGCUGGCUGAUUUAGUGAGUGGAUUGUAAAUUAACGGUUUCACAUUAUUUCCUGAAUUAUGUUGUUGAUAUGCUAGAUUGCGCAUUCUAGCAAUAUGGCAUAUCUAUAGGAAGUUCUUUCAUAUAUAGCUGAUCUUUAGUACCAGCUCUUCUAAUAUUAGCAUUUAUCAUUUCUACUCUACAUGAGAUGUCUGCUCCAGUGAUGGAUGGCAAUGGCACCGUAAUUUCGACCACCAUAGGGGGAAAGAAUGGGGAACCUUAGCAUUGUCUGAUUGUUGGUCUUUACUGAAUGAGUUUAUAACUACAGCUGGGAUGUUGGCCAUUUGGGUUGUAUGAAGCAAACAGGCUUGACUUAGUUAGACUAUAGCGAAGAAUCUUGAGCUGUCAAGUCUAGCUCUAGAAACUGAGACGAUCUUUAGUGACCUGCAAACAGUUUGUUACGUGGCAGAGCGAGUUGUAAGGACCGGUUCAUUGGAGAGACUUUAAACGUUUGAUUAGAAUUCCAAAUAAAAAUAUGUAUCAUCCAAUGUGAGACGAGCGGCUUUAAAGAUGAUAAACGAGUUAUUUUACCCAUGAAUUCUGUUGCAGAGUGACGAAUUAUGAAGAAUUGAAGGUUUUUGUUUAUAAUGAUGAGAUUGAUUUUAAUUUUAAAGUUAAUGUAGUGUAUAAAGAAGUUUAAAAAUGAUGAGUAAUUAUCCAUUGUGUUU